Molecule: long non-coding RNA, 6991 nt
Filed under: Cucumis sativus (cucumber)
Lineage: Eukaryota; Viridiplantae; Streptophyta; Magnoliopsida; Cucurbitales; Cucurbitaceae
Description: long non-coding RNA (CSAT_LNC003068)
Source: RNAcentral
UCGUCAGGGGAAAAUAAAUUGUUAAAGUUCUAUUGGGACACCCUGUACAGUCGCAGUCUUGUGAUCCCGUAUGAUACACAUUUCAGUCUAACGCCCCGAAGGACGUACAUAUCAGUCUGACGCCCCGAGGGACGUACAUAUCAGUCAAGUGUUCUGCAGAACACAUAUAGUCAAAUGCUCCCGAAGGUGCAAAAUAAAUUGGUGAUCCCGUGGGACACCUACAAGGUAAUCAUCCCAAUACAACCUAACAAUCUAUCCCCUCAUUCCAUUCAACCAUCCUUCAGAUACUUCAAAACAUAGAGUUCUUUCUCUCAACGUCCUAACAGUCAACUUAUCUCACUUAGGUCAUAUGUCUGUCAAUAACAUACUAAUACAUCAGUCAAUCAAACUAUACAGUCAAUACACCCCUCAGAUCACCAGCACACAGUCAUACUUUAGCGUAACGACACCCAAUCUAAACGACAAUCACAAGAUCGCAUCUGCAUCUCAUACAAGCAUAAUCUACAAUUUUCGUCCUGUCCACAUCCACACACAUAUAUAUAUAUUCCAUGACAAUCACAAUAUGCAUUCCACAUUAAGUCUACUUCAAUUCCUAUGCAUAUGUAUAUAUAUUUUCAGUCAAUCCACAGUGUACAUUCAGCACCGAAUCUACACCCAUACGUGUGUAAACAUAAGUAUCAUCUCAACAUCUUUACUCAGUCAAAGAUAAUCAUUCAGACAUGCAAUUCACAAUCAUAAGUGAGUCCAGUAGAAAAUCCCUUACCUUCAAAUUUGUUAAGCUCCUUAACCACGUUAAGUCUAUGAAGAACGAACCUAAACAUUAAGACAAUUUCUCAAUAAUUCCCUUCAACGCAUCAGUCAUUUAAUUUCAACCCAAUGUGAAUCUUUUUGCAACUUACCCAAAUCUUCACGAAAGAAAUCGAGCAGUGGCUUUGCGAAGAGAUGACGUGCGACGGAGAGACCGUAUACAGAUGGCCGGAGAGUCGCGCGGCAGUGCAGACGACGGAGGAGAAGGAAUCGGCGGCGGCUGGGCUGAAAACAGAGGAGAAAGGAGAGGGGAGACAGCGGCGGUUACAGGUUCACGCGGCGGCCUUGCUUCGCGAACAGAGAUGGCGGCCGACGGUUGCAGCGACGGAAGAGCAACGGCGCCGCAGAUCUGGACUGGCAGCGGCGCAGUCUUGCUUCGCGGUGGGCUGCGGACGGAAGAAGAAAAUGGAAAGAAAGGAUCGGCGGCUAGCUGCGGACGGGAAGAAGAAGAUAGAGGUGUGGUUGCGGCUGGGCUGCGGUUGGCUGCGGCGGGACGGGAAGAAGAAGAUAGAGGCGGCGGCGUGGAGCGGAGAAGAAAAGAGGAAGAAAAAGAAGAAAGAAAAGAGAAAGGAAAAGAGAAGAGAACGGGGGGGGGGCUGUGCAGCGCGCGAGAGAGAGAGAGAGAGAAAUUUCUUUCUUUUCUUUUUUUAUUUAUUUAUAAUUAAAUAAAUAAAUAUAUAUAUAUAUAUAUAUAUAAAAUAAAAACAAAAUAUAUAUAUAUAUAUAUACCUUUGGGCAUUACAUUCUUCCCUCCUUAAGAAACUUUCGUCCUCGAAAGUUUUAAUCCUGAAAUAACUCUGGAUAACGAGUCCUCAUCUCUUCCUCUCGCUCCCAUGUCGCCUCUUCAAUUCGAUGAUUCCGCCACAAAACCUUUACUAAUGGAAUGCUUCUAUUACGAAGCAUCUUUACCUCUCUAGCCAGAAUCUCCACAGGUUGUUCUACAUAGCUCAAAUGCUCAUCAAUCUCCAAGGGUUCAUAGUCCACUACAUGAGACGUAUCGGCCACAUACUUCCUCAACAUCGAAACAUGAAAACAUUAUGAACUGCAGAGAGAGAUGGUGGUAAUGCCAAGCGAUACGCCACAACACCAACCCUCUCUAAGAUCUCAAAUGGUCCAACAAAACGAGGACUUAACUUUCCUUUCUUCUCAAAACGCAUAACACCCUUCAUAGGUGCUACCUUCAAGAAUACCUUUUCUCCCACAUCGAACUUAAGGUCUUUUCGCCGUACAUCGCAUAACUCUUCUGUCUACUCUGCGCUGUUUGCAUACGUGCUCUAAUCUUUUGAAUAGCCUCAUUAGUAGACCGAACUAAUUCAGGUCCCAUCAAUCUAUGUUCACCAACCUCACUCCAACAAACAGGGGUUCUACAACAUUUGCCAUACAAAGCCUCAAAUGGUGCCAUACCGAUGGUAGCCUGGAAACUGUUGUUAUAAGCAAACUCCAUCAAAUGUAGAUGAGAGUCCCAACUACCUGGAAACUCUAUAACACAAGCUCGUAGCAUAUCCUCUAAAACUUGGUUCAAACGUUCAGUUUGACCAUCAGUCUGUGGAUGAAAGGCUGUACUGAAAUCCAAUCUCGUACCCAUAGCAGUCUGAAGUCCCUUCCAAAACUUGGAAGUAAACCGUGCAUCCCUAUCAGAAACAAUCGAUACAGGCACUCCAUGCAGUCUCACAAUCUCAGUUAAAUACAACUCUGCCCACUUACUAGCAGUAUAAGUGGAUUUUCCUGGUACAAAAUGUGCCGAUUUCGUAAGCCUGUCUAUGACAACCAGAAUCACUGUGAAACCCUUCAGGGUCUUAGGCAGCCCUGAAAUAAAAUCCAUCGACACAUUCUCCCACUUCCACUCUGGCACACUUAAAGGUUGUAAAAACCUGCUGGUUUCUGUCUAGGUGCCUUAACUUGCUGACAUACUAGACACUUACUAACAAAUUCCGCCACUUCUUUUCAUAUUCCGCCACCAAUAAAAUCGUUUUAGAUCCUGAUACAUUUUCGUGCUACCAGGAUGCAUGGAAAAUGGGGAAUUAUGGGCUUCAUCUAGUAAGUCAAUCUUAACUGUACUGUUCGCUGGCACACAUAAACGUCUCUCAAACAUCAACCCACCAUCAGAGGAUAUGGAGAACUCAUCAGUCUGCCCUGUUUCAACAAGGCGACGUCUCUCCAUCAAAUAAGGAUCAUUACUCUGAGCAUCAACAAUCUUGUGCCUCAGAGUCGGUUGCACCGUUAAUUGAGCUAGCUGUGAGGUGACUCUCCCCACAGACACUGCAAUCUCAGCUCUCUCCAAGUCUCGAUGCAAUGGUACCUGUCUAGUAAUGAGUGCUGCCGAAUGUGAUACUUUUCUACUAAGAGCAUCAGCCACCACAUUCGCCUUACCAGGAUGGUAUAAUAUCUCACAGUCAUAAUCUUUUACCAACUCGAGCCACCUUCGCUGUCUCAUAUUCAACUCCUUCUGAGUGAAGAAGUACUUUAGGCUCUUAUGGUCAGUAAAGAUUUGUAUCUUUUCACCGUACAAGUAAUGUCUCCAUAUCUUCAAUGCAAAAACCACUGCUGCCAACUCCAAAUCAUGUGUGGGGUAGUUCUGCUCGUGACUCUUCAACUGACGAGAGGCAUAAGCAACCACCUUACCUUUCUGCAUCAAAACACAACCCAGUCCUUUCUUGGAAGCAUCACUGUAAAUCACAAAACUUCCAGAUCCAUCUGGUACAGUAAGGACCGGUGCAGUAACUAACCUUUGCUUAAGGUUCUGAAAACUAUCCUCACAAGCUGGACUCCAAACAAACGGAGUUCCCUUCCUUGUCAACUGAGUCAAAGGAGUAGCCAAACGUGAAAAAUCCUCCACAAACCUCCGGUAGUACCCUGCUAAACCCAGAAAACUACGAACCUCACAACUGUGGAGGGUCGAGACCAACUGGUAACCGCUUCUAUCUUUGCAGGGUCUACUGAAACUCCCUCACUGGAAACCACAUGACCAAGAAAAGCCACCUGCUUCAACCAAAAUUCGCACUUCGAGAACUUAGCAUACAGUUUAUUGCUCGAAGAGUCUCUAAUACCUUAUGUAAUGUUCCUCAUGUUCGACUUCAGUCUUGGAAUAAACCAAAAUAUCAUCAAUGAAGACUAUCACAAAAGUGUCCAAGAAAUCCUUAAACACCCUGUUCAUCAAAUCCAUAAAUACAGCAGGUGCAUUAGUCAAACCAAAAGACAUCACUAUGAAUUCAUAAUGUCCAUACCUCGAACGAAAGCAGUCUUAGGAAUAUCACGGUCUCUAAUCCUCAACUGGUGAUAACCUGACCGUAAGUCAAUCUUAGAGAACACCGUGGCUCCCUGUAACUGAUCGAACAAAUCAUCGAUUCUGGGUAAAGGAUACCUGUUCUUGACUGUUACUUUAUUCAACUCUCUAUAGUCAAUGCAAAGACGCAUCGACCCAUCCUUCUUCUUCACAAACAAUACUGGUGCACCCCAAGGUGACACACUAGGUCGAAUAAAGCCUUUGUCAAGCAAUUCCUGUAACUGUACCUUCAGUUCUUUCAACUCAGCAGGAGCCAUCCUAUAAGGGGCUCUAGAAAUAGGAGUAGUGUUUGGCUCCAACUCAAUGCAAAAUCAACCUCUCUAUGUGGCGGCAGUCCUGGAAGAUCUUUUGGAAAUACAUCUGGGUUUCUUUACCACAGGUUUGAAGUUAAAGAAGUCUCACCUUCCCUAGUAUCCACCACACUUGCCAAAAUACUCCAAGUACCCUGGCUGAGUAGUUUACUAGCUUUCAUAGCUGAGAUUACUUUAGGCAGUACUACUGUUCCUACUCCCUUGAAUUUAAAGCUAGAUGCAGUAGGGGGACUAAACACAACUUCCUUACGAGAACAAUCAAUACUAGCAUGAUUAGUAGCUAGCCAAUCCAUCUAAAAUUACAUCAAAGUCACGCAUAUCUAAUACCAACAAGGUUACGUCCAGUACACGACCAGCUAUUUCAAUUUCACAUGCUUUAAUCUUUUCCUUAGACAACAUAAUUUCUCCAGACGGUGUAGACACUGACAAAACAUAGUCUAAGGGUUCCACUUCUAAGCAUGCAUGCGUCAAAAAAGCGAUGAAAUAAAUGAAUGAGAAGAUCCCGAGUCAAACAAGGUCAAGGCAAAUGCCCAAUACUGGUAACGUACCUGUCACUACUGUGCCGGCCUUCUCUGCCUCUGAUCUAUUAGUGGCAAAGAUUGUACCCCGCUGUGGAGGUCUCUCUCCUGACUGCUCGAUCCAGCCCAGUAGAUCUCAAGGACACCUAUCAGCCAUGUGUCCCUCUUGCUUGCACUUAUAACAGACUCUCGUUCCCAUCAAACAACGACCCAGGUGGCGUUUCCCACACGUAUCAUACUGGCCUCUCUUGAGUAGUGUCUCCUGCACCGCCAGAACUCUGCUGGAAACUGCGAAAAGAAUCACCUGGUCUCAUGUUCCUCUGAGGAACUCCUACAGUUCUCUGCUCUACUUUUCUCUUUUGACCCGACGACGAUCCCUUAUUAAAGCUCCUUGGCUGUCUUUCAUCCUUCCCAAUACUCAUAUCCACUGCCAGACGCAGUGCUUCAGCUUGGGUAGUGGGCUUUAGUGCUCGCACAAAACCCCUAAUUUCAUCUCUCAAUCCCUUGACGAACCUAUCAGCUCUAGCCUGCUCAUUACUAACAAGCUCAGGGCAAAACGUGACAGCAUAUCAAACUCCUGGUCGUACUCCUCGACUGUCAUAUAUCCUUGCUUCAACUCCAAGAAUUCCUGGCUUUUGGCGUCUCUAAGGUUAGCCGAGAAAAACUUGGUAUAGAAGCAGUCCUUAAACUGAUCCCAGGUAAUCUGCCUCACAUCUCCACCUAGCAUGCGCAUGUCCUCCACCAGAUAAUGCCUCUGUCCCUCAGUAGAAAAGCAGCACACUGAACUCUAUGCUCCUCAGGACAUCUCAUGUAAUUAAAUAUGGUUUCCACAGAGGACAACCACAUUUCAGCUUUGUAGGAUCCUCCAGUGACCCAUCAAACGUCUGAGGUCAUACUUCCGAAAGUCCCUCAAAUGUUUCGCUCAGCAGAAAGUUGGUUAGGUAAUUCUUGUGCAGGAGGGGCUGCUGGUGCAGGGGGAACUACAGGUGCAGGUGGGACUGCAGGUGCCUGCUGGUUUUGAGCUAUGCUGUCAUAAGUUCUGUAAACCUCUGCUCCAUGUGAGCAGACAGUGCAUCAAACUCGACGUGAGUCACGGGUGCAGCAGGAAUUCGAUGUUCAGCUUGACCCUCAGUAGGCUGAUUACGACCUACUCCUCUACCUCGGCCUCCUGCUCCUCUACCUCGGCCUCUACGACCUCCUCUACGUACUUCCUUUAAUUUCCUAUUAUCCACCAACAACACUCUUUAACAAAAUCUUAAUCAUAACAUAAGCAAGUCUUUAUCGUCAUGCAAUCUAGUUUAAUUUAGGCAAGGUCAUAUACAUAAACCAUACAUAUAAGCAUAAAGCAUACCUGACGAGAGACGAAGGGUCGCGUUUGCCAUAGGAACACAAAAACAUAGACUUACAUCGUAAGUCAGUCUACAGAACCUAAACUUAGGCUCUGAUACCAACUGUAACGACCCAACUUUUCUAAGUAAGUCGAGAUCGUUAGUUUUUAACAAAUAAAAGACUCUGAUUAAUAUAAAACAAAACGUAAGCAAUUUAAAAAAAAAACAUCUUCAAGUCAGGCCUGAUUUUUAAACAUUCAAGAAAGUAUAAAAUAAUACUGUUUACAACAAACGUUUGUAAACUAAAUUUCAAAUCAAUCUUAAAUAAGCGGAAGCAAUUACACGUUUCCUAUGGCAUCACGCUUCCUUCCUGCCCCUCGCCGGUUUGCCGCCUUUAUUACCUUUGCCUGAAAAUCAAACAUAAGAAGGGUGAGUAUUUUAAAUACUCAGUAAGAGACCCUCUACUGGUCUCGUCAGGGGAAAAUAAAUUGUUAAAGUUCUAUUGGGACACCCUGUACAGUCGCAGUCUUGUGAUCCCGUAUGAUACACAUUUCAGUCUAACGCCCGAAGGACGUACAUAUCAGUCUGACGCCCCGAGGGACGUACAUAUCAGUCAAGUGUUCUGCAGAACACAUAUCAGUCAAAUGCUCCGAAGGUGCAAAAUAAAUUGGUGAUCCCGUGGGACACCUACAAGGUAAUCAUCCCAAUACAACCUAACAAUCUAUCCCCUCAUUCCAUUCAACC